UGUAAGAAGCUCCUCGCCUUCCCGGCGAGGCGUCAUCCUGAUGAUGACAGAGCUGUCGGCCGUUUCGGCCACAGAAUCGUCUCCAUCCUCUCGUGGGCAACUCCGAGGAAUUGGAGACCGUCGAUGCAUCGGAGACGGGGGCGGCAGCGGAGAGACAGAGAUGUACGCCUUCUUCAUCACUGCCUCCAUCCUGUCGUUGAACUCAAAGAAGACCAUGUACUGAAAGGGGGGACCAGCGUCAGACGGUCAUUUUCUGAAGAACCAGAGCUGCCGUUCAGCCAACGUCUGGAUCUCACCUUCAGCAGACGUGGGAACCGCAGCAGAGAGUUCACGCCGGUGAAGACGUAAAAGAUCUCCAUGGGGAACAGACUGAUGACGUCCAUCUGAGCAGAACACAGUUCAAACAUGACAAAUGUGGAACCUUCUGGUUCUGUCAAACUGUCAGUCUGGUUUGGUUUGAGUUGCAAACAAGUUUGGGUGUCAUUGUAAAUAUGCUAGCGCUGCUAACGUGUAGCUGUGUUGGACUAAGUUUUUUUCUAUGUGUUACUUUUUUUAAAAACUUGUCCUGUCCAACAGCUGAGCAAACAGAUCAGAGCUGAAGACAGAUUGUCUGUAAUAAUAGGAGGUUAUGGAUCUACUGACACAUGAGGGGUUUAUUUGUAUAAACCCCUUUUGUAUUUGACGCUUAACUUUAUUCAUGUUAUGUUUGCAGACAUUUUUUGUUGGACCAGAUGGAAACAAAAGAAGACAUGGGUUUUUAUGUGUUACUAACAAGCUUUGAGUUAGACUAACAUAUUCUGCUUUUUUACAUGUUGCAAACAAGGGCAGGAGUUACGAGUUACGAGUAAGCUAACAUGGCUAACGUAUAGUGUGUCACAAGAAUUACUGUUAAUAAAAUCUGACUGAAUGACA
This is a long non-coding RNA of Oryzias latipes (Japanese medaka), 912 nucleotides long. RefSeq lists it as uncharacterized. The record is from RefSeq and is a predicted model, not a curated record. Lineage: Eukaryota; Metazoa; Chordata; Actinopteri; Beloniformes; Adrianichthyidae.